Long non-coding RNA from Mirounga angustirostris (Northern elephant seal), 1079 nucleotides. RefSeq lists it as uncharacterized. The record is from RefSeq and is a predicted model, not a curated record. Lineage: Eukaryota; Metazoa; Chordata; Mammalia; Carnivora; Phocidae. The transcript has 2 exons.
CAAAAUUAUCCCAAAGCUUCAGGCUUCAAAUAACAGUAAUCGUUUACUACAUCUCAUAGUUGCUGUGGGUCCGGAACUUGGGAGUAACUCGAAUAGGAGGAUCUGGGUCCAGGUCUUUCACGAGGUUGCAGUCAGAUGCUGGUCAAUGUGGAAAUCCUCUGAAGGCUUGGCCGGAGCUGGAGAUCCAUUUCUAGGAUGGCUCGCUCGCAUCUGACAAGAGAGGAUCCAAAGUGACAGAUCCCAGGCAAGAGGUCAAAAAAGUCUGGAGGAUCGUGACAGCACCGUGUUUCACUCCCUCCAGUGGGUGGAUUUAACAACCUGCACUGGAGCUUCCUGACUCUCGUGCUGGGGAAUUUGAGGAGAAGGAGAAUCUAAGUGCACUAUGUAAUAGAAAGAUAAAGAACUCCAAGCUUGCCUGUUGUCCUUGGAUUAUUGCCCCUGGUAUUCACCUCUGGAAGGGCCAACCCUUUGUCUCCCUAUCUGCAUCAGCAAAAUCUUCCUGGAAUGUCAUUUGGGUUAUUUGAUCCAGUAGUAAAAUCCACAAUCUCUCCUGGCAAAUCAGCAAGUACUUAUUAAGCAUCUACUGUGUACCCAAGAGCAAAUCCUAGGAUCAUUUGAGACCAGUGUAGAUGGAUACGCCAAAAAUGGCCAGGCAUGACCAAAAUAGAUUGUUGUCAAACCCACCUGUCUUGAGGCUUCAAAGGCAAGAACUGAAAAGGACUUUUUUUUUUUUUUUUUGAGCUAGCAUUUAGAGUCGGUACUGCCCAAAGAAUGCUUUCAGAAUGUUUUUCAUUUAGAAAAUUCCUGAGGACUUGAAACACAAAGAAAGAUCAAGGAACCAUUCUAGAGGGGCGCCUGGGUGGCUCAGCCGUUAAGCGCCUGCCUUCGACUCAGGUCAUGAUCCCAGGGUCCUAGGAUCAAGCCCCGCAUCGGACUCCCUGCUCUGCGGGAGGCCUGCUUCUCCCUCUCCCACUCCCCCUGCUUGUGUUCCCUCUCUCUCUCUGUCAAAUAAAUAAAUAAAAUCUUAAAAAAAAAAAAAAGGAAUCAUUCUAGAGACUUUUAGUUAACGGACAACAAAA